GAUGAACGCUGGCGGCGUGCCUAAUACAUGCAAGUCGAGCGAACGGACGAGAAGCUUGCUUCUCUGAUGUUAGCGGCGGACGGGUGAGUAACACGUGGAUAACCUACCUAUAAGACUGGGAUAACUUCGGGAAACCGGAGCUAAUACCGGAUAAUAUUUUGAACCGCAUGGUUCAAAAGUGAAAGACGGUCUUGCUGUCACUUAUAGAUGGAUCCGCGCUGCAUUAGCUAGUUGGUAAGGUAACGGCUUACCAAGGCAACGAUGCAUAGCCGACCUGAGAGGGUGAUGGGCCACACUGGAACGGAGACACGGUCCAGACUCCUACGGGAGGCAGCAGUAGGGAAUCUUCCGCAAUGGGCGAAAGCCUGACGGAGCAACGCCGCGUGAGUGAUGAAGGUCUUCGGAUCGUAAAACUCUGUUAUUAGGGAAGAACAUAUGUGUAAGUAACUGUGCACAUCUUGACGGUACCUAAUCAGAAAGCCACGGCUAACUACGUG
RNAcentral lists this ribosomal RNA (497 nucleotides) under uncultured bacterium. RNAcentral describes it as "partial 16S ribosomal RNA". It matches the Rfam family "Bacterial small subunit ribosomal RNA", at positions 28 to 507 of the family's 1533-position model. The record is from RNAcentral.